This is a small nucleolar RNA of Polyodon spathula (Mississippi paddlefish), 103 nucleotides long. RefSeq annotates it as small nucleolar RNA U13. The record is from RefSeq and is a predicted model, not a curated record. The transcript has a single exon. NCBI's taxonomy places the organism in Eukaryota, Metazoa, Chordata, Actinopteri, Acipenseriformes, Polyodontidae.
AUCCUUGUGGUUCAGCAAGUGAUGAACAGGUUGAUCAUGUGAUCGCUGAGUGAGAUGUACUCCCUUUCAAUCUUGUUACGAUUAGCACAGCACCCUUCUGAUU